Molecule: ribosomal RNA, 682 nt
Filed under: uncultured bacterium
Lineage: Bacteria
Description: bacterial SSU rRNA
Rfam family: Bacterial small subunit ribosomal RNA
Source: RNAcentral
AUGCUUAACACAUGCAAGUCGAACGGAAACGAUGGAAGCUUGCUUCCAGGCGUCGAGUGGCGGACGGGUGAGUAAUGCUUGGGAAUCUGCCUAAUAGUGGGGGAAAACUCGGGGAAACUCGGGCUAAUACCGCAUAAUCUCUUCGGAGGGAAGGGGGCCUCUACAUGUAAGCUCUCGCUAAUAGAUGAGCCCAAGUCAGAUUAGCUUGUUGGUGAGGUAAAAGCUCACCAAGGCUACGAUCUGUAGCUGGUCUGAGAGGACGAUCAGCCACACUGGGACUGAGACACGGCCCAGACUCCUACGGGAGGCAGCAGUGGGGAAUAUUGCACAAUGGGCGCAAGCCUGAUGCAGCAAUGCCGCGUGUGUGAAGAAGGCCUUAGGGUUGUAAAGCACUUUCAAUAGAGAAGAAAAGCUUAGAGUUAAUAACUCUAAGCAUUGACGUAACCUAUAGAAGAAGCACCGGCUAAAUCCGUGCCAGCAGCCGCGGUAAUACGGAUGGUGCGAGCGUUAAUCGGAAUUACUGGGCGUAAAGCGCGCGUAGGCUGUUUUAUAAGUCGGAUGUGAAAUCCCCGGGCUCAACCUGGGAACUGCAUCCGAAACUAUUUAACUAGAGUAUGGGAGAGGUAAGUAGAAUUUCCGGUGUAGCGGUGAAAUGCGUAGAUAUCGGAAGGAACACCAGUGG